GUGGGGAAUCUUGCGCAAUGGGCGAAAGCCUGACGCAGCCAUGCCGCGUGAAUGAUGAAGGUCUUAGGAUUGUAAAAUUCUUUCACCGGGGACGAUAAUGACGGUACCCGGAGAAGAAGCCCCGGCUAACUUCGUGCCAGCAGCCGCGGUAAUACGAAGGGGGCUAGCGUUGCUCGGCAUUACUGGGCGUAAAGGGCGCGUAGGCGGACAGUUUAGUCAGAGGUGAAAGCCCAGGGCUCAACCUUGGAAUUGCCUUUGAUACUGGCUGUCUUGAGUACGGGAGAGGUGAGUGGAACUCCGAGUGUAGAGGUGAAAUUCGUAGAUAUUCGGAAGAACACCAGUGGCGAAGGCGACUCACUGGCCCGUUACUGACGCUGAGGCGCGAAAGCGUGGGGAGCAAACAGGAUUAGAUACCCGGGUAGUCC
This 425-nucleotide ribosomal RNA is filed under the name uncultured bacterium. Its description in RNAcentral is "partial 16S ribosomal RNA". It matches the Rfam family "Bacterial small subunit ribosomal RNA", at positions 354 to 796 of the family's 1533-position model. The record is from RNAcentral.